Molecule: ribosomal RNA, 251 nt
Filed under: uncultured bacterium
Lineage: Bacteria
Description: partial 16S ribosomal RNA
Rfam family: Bacterial small subunit ribosomal RNA
Source: RNAcentral
UACGUAGGUGGCGAGCGUUGUCCGGAAUGACUGGGCGUAAAGGGAGCGUAGGUUGCAAUUUAAGUUAGGUGUGAAAGCCCAUGGCUCAACCAUGGAAGUGCACUUAAAACUGGAUAGCUAGAGUACAGGAGGGGUAAGCGGAAUUCCUAGUGUAGCGGUGAAAUGCGUAGAUAUUAGGAAGAACACCGGAGGCGAAGGCGGCUUACUGGACUGCAACUGACACUGAGGCUCGAAAGCGUGGGGAGCAAACA